RNAcentral lists this long non-coding RNA (258 nucleotides) under Anser brachyrhynchus (Pink-footed goose). RNAcentral describes it as "lncRNA (ENSABRG00000014102.1)". Lineage: Eukaryota; Metazoa; Chordata; Aves; Anseriformes; Anatidae. The record is from RNAcentral.
GUCACGAUAGUGGAUUUUACCUUAUGGAUCUGAAGAUGAGACCUUGCAGUGCUUACCAAAGUCCCUGGCCACAAAUCUGCCCUGACUAUCUUCACCUCUAUGAAGAAAUUAGGAGAUCUGGUGGUCUCAAAAAUCAUGAAGAAUCUGAACAUAGGACAAAGGCCCUCAUAUAUUGUUAACAAGAUGGAAACAAUCACACCUCAGAUGUGAGAAAAAAUCAAGGAUCUCAUUAUGUUCAAAUAAAGGAACAGAAUAAGC